This 377-nucleotide ribosomal RNA is filed under the name uncultured bacterium. RNAcentral's name for it is "bacterial SSU rRNA". It matches the Rfam family "Bacterial small subunit ribosomal RNA", at positions 521 to 896 of the family's 1533-position model. The record is from RNAcentral.
UAAUACGUAGGGGGCAAGCGUUGUCCGGAUUUAUUGGGCGUAAAGCGCACGCAGGCGGUUUUCGAAGUUUCGAGUGACAGGUGGGAGCUCAACUCCCGCAGGCCUCGGAAAACUGGAAGACUUGAGAGUGAGAGAGGGAUGCGGAAUUCCAGGUGGAGCGGUGAAAUGCGUAGAGAUCUGGAAGAACACCAAAGGCGAAGGCAGCAUCCUGGCUCAUAUCUGACGCUCAUGUGCGAAAGCUAGGGGAGCGAACGGGAUUAGAUACCCCGGUAGUCCUAGCCGUAAACGAUGACCACUAGACGUAGGGGGUAUCGACCCCCUCUGUGUCGAAGCUAACGCGAGAAGUGGUCCGCCUGGGGAGUACGGUCGCAAGAUUA